This 433-nucleotide ribosomal RNA is filed under the name uncultured bacterium. Its description in RNAcentral is "partial 16S ribosomal RNA". It matches the Rfam family "Bacterial small subunit ribosomal RNA", at positions 29 to 507 of the family's 1533-position model. The record is from RNAcentral.
AACGAACGCUGGCGGCAUGCCUAACACAUGCAAGUCGAACGAGACCUUCGGGUCUUUUGGCGCACGGGUGCGUAACGCGUGGGAACCUUCACUUAGGUUGGGAAUACCUCCCCGAAAGGGGUGCUAAUACCGGAUAAUGUCUUCGGACCAAAGAUAUAUCGCCUUUGGAUGGGCGCGCGUUGGAUUAGCUAUUUGGUAGGGUAAAAGCCUACCAAGGCGACGCUGCAUAGCUGGUCUGAGAGGAUGAUCAACCACACUGGGACUGGGACACGGCCGAGACUCUUAGGGAAGGCAGCAGGGGGGAAUAUUGGACAAUGGGCGAGAGCCUGAUCCAGCCGUGCCGCGUAAGUGAUGAAGUCCUGAGGGUUGUAAAGCUCUUUUACCCGGGAUGAUAAUGACAGUACCGGGCGAAUAAGCGCCGGCUAACUACGUG